GUUUGGUGUUACUUAACAGACAUGGGCAUCAGCACCGUCAUUGCUCUCCUUGGCCAGCUGAGGGAGGAAAACUGACUGCUUACUAUUUUUCAGAUUCACCGUCUUCAGAAACCCCGCCAGGCCCUUUCCUUCACAGCCAGCCACUAACCCAUGAUUCACCCCAGCCACGUCACCGCUUCCAUUAAGUCAAAGAGGAAAUCAAUCAAUCAACAUGAAAAUUGUAAAUUUAGAACAGAAAUUUAAAUUAAGGCGCACCUUGUAGUGAACUAAAUUGUACUCUCUGAUAUUUCAGCCACACCUCUGCCAUCGCAACAGGGGAACAAUCAGUUGCUGCGUGACAUGGGCAUCAGCACAGUCAUCGCUCUCCUUGGCCAGCUGAGGGAGGAAAACAGGGAGCUGAAGGGGGAAGUAGGAAGGCUGGCGCAAGAGGUCAGGGCCCUAAGGAGAGAGAUGGGGAGACAAGACACACCCCAGACAUCGCCCCUAAUCAAGCUCCCACUCUCCACCAUGGAGGAGUUUUUGGCAGCAGAGGCCCUGGUGAAGGAAGAUGCCAAACAAAAGCAGCUAAUGGUGUCUACCUUAGCCCUUUGUGGAGGAACCA
Neoarius graeffei (lesser salmon catfish) is the source of this 601-nucleotide long non-coding RNA. RefSeq lists it as uncharacterized. NCBI's taxonomy places the organism in Eukaryota, Metazoa, Chordata, Actinopteri, Siluriformes, Ariidae. The record is from RefSeq and is a predicted model, not a curated record. The transcript has 4 exons.